UAACACAUGCAAGUCGAACGGGCAGUAGCAAUACUGCUAGUGGCGCACGGGUGCGUAACACGUAACUAAUCUACCUACAACUGGGGGAUAGCCCGCCGAAAGGCGGAUUAAUACCGCAUAACAUCCUUACCCGGCAUCGGGUGUUGAUUAAAGAUUUAUUGGUUGUAGAUGAGGUUGCGGGUCAUUAGCUAGUUGGCGAGGUAACGGCUCACCAAGGCGACGAUGACUAGGGGAGCUGAGAGGCUGGUCCCCCACACGGGCACUGAGAUACGGGCCCGACUCCUACGGGAGGCAGCAGUAGGGAAUAUUGGGCAAUGGGCGAGAGCCUGACCCAGCCAUGCCGCGUGCAGGAAGAAGGCUUUCUGAGUCGUAAACUGCUUUUGAUAGGGAAGAAUAAGCUGCUCGUGAGCAGUGAUGACGGUACCUACAGAAUAAGCACCGGCUAACUCCGUGCCAGCAGCCGCGGUAAU
RNAcentral lists this ribosomal RNA (470 nucleotides) under uncultured bacterium. RNAcentral describes it as "bacterial SSU rRNA". It matches the Rfam family "Bacterial small subunit ribosomal RNA", at positions 49 to 524 of the family's 1533-position model. The record is from RNAcentral.